UCUGGCAUCGAUGAAGAACGCAGCGAAAUGCGAUAAGUAAUGUGAAUUGCAGAAUUCAGUGAAUCAUCGAAUCUUUGAACGCACAUUGCGCCCGCCAGUAUUCUGGCGGGCAUGCCUGUUCGAGCGUCAUUACAACCCUCAGGCCCCCGGGUCUGGCGUUGGGGAUCGGCGGAAGCCCCCUGUGGGCACAACGCCGUCCCCCAAAUACAGUGGCGGUCCCGCCGCAGCUUCCAUUGCGUAGUAGCUAACACCUCGCAACUGGAGAGCGGCGCGGCCACGCCGUAAAACACCCAACUUCUGAAUGUUGACCUCGAAUCAGGUAGGAAUACCCGCUGAACUUAAGCAUAUCAAUAAGCGGAGGA
This 362-nucleotide ribosomal RNA is filed under the name Fusarium solani. Its description in RNAcentral is "eukaryotic LSU rRNA". The stretch from base 1 to 129 matches the Rfam family "5.8S ribosomal RNA", at positions 26 to 154 of the family's 154-position model. Lineage: Eukaryota; Fungi; Ascomycota; Sordariomycetes; Hypocreales; Nectriaceae. The record is from RNAcentral.